This 793-nucleotide ribosomal RNA is filed under the name Belisana leuser. RNAcentral's name for it is "partial 28S ribosomal RNA". The stretch from base 433 to 793 matches the Rfam family "Eukaryotic large subunit ribosomal RNA", at positions 1 to 915 of the family's 3401-position model. Lineage: Eukaryota; Metazoa; Arthropoda; Arachnida; Araneae; Pholcidae. The record is from RNAcentral.
AGUCGAGAAGAGAGUUCAAGAAGUUACUAAACUGCUCAGUAAGGCAAACGGGUGGGCCCACGAAAUCCACUUUGCGAGGGGAUUCAGUCGGAUAGGUGAAGGGACUGGAGGCUCGGUCGAGGCGCCCGGUGCCCCCGGAUCGAACCCGGAUCGUCCGACGCACUUCCCUCUCGCACUGAGGACGCUGCAGCCGGUUCGGUCACCCAAGAGUCGGCCGUGAGGACUUGCGACGGCAGGUGACCAGAUUCCCGGCUAGCCCGUGGUUUUCUGGUUGUUAGCCGGCUCGUCCGUGGCGCGACACCGGACCGAGGAGUGAAGGAACCCUUGUCGGUCCUGCCGUGUCCUCGCCUUCCGAGCGGAGAGGCGCGUCGGGGGCUGUGUGGUCCCGAGGGGUGCCACGGUCGACCGUGGCCCCCUCCUUCCCCCCCUCUUUGGGCGUGCCUCCACCGCGGCUAUGCGUCGUGGCUGGCAGCGAAUAUGUCGGUCACCCACCCCACCCGUCUUGAAACACGGACCAGGGACUCUAACGUGUGCGCGAGUCACAGACUCUUGAACAGGCUCUCGGGCGCAAUGAAAGUGAAGGUCGUCUUUACCUCGGCCGUGUUGGGAAGUCUCGCCUCGAGCGGGACCGCACCAACCACCCGUCUCGUCCGAUUUAUCGGUGGGGCGGACUCAGAGCGUACACUUUGGGACCCGAAAUAUGGUGAACUAUGCCUGGGCGGGACAAACCCGGAGGAAACUCUGGUGGAUGUCCGCAGCGGUUCUGACGUGCAUAUCUAUCGUCACACCUGGU